Oryctolagus cuniculus (rabbit) is the source of this 103-nucleotide small nuclear RNA. Its record names the gene U2. It matches the Rfam family "U2 spliceosomal RNA". Rfam says of the family: U2 is a small nuclear RNA (snRNA) component of the spliceosome (involved in pre-mRNA splicing). Complementary binding between U2 snRNA (in an area lying towards the 5' end but 3' to hairpin I) and the branchpoint sequence (BPS) of the intron results the bulging out of an unpaired adenosine, on the BPS, which initiates a nucleophilic attack at the intronic 5' splice site, thus starting the first of two transesterification reactions that mediate splicing. The record is from Ensembl. NCBI's taxonomy places the organism in Eukaryota, Metazoa, Chordata, Mammalia, Lagomorpha, Leporidae.
UGUGCUUCUCAGCCUUUUGGCUAAGAUCAAGUGUAGUAUCUGUUCUUAUCAGUUUAAUAUCAUAUAUAGUUUGUUUCAUUUUAUCCUUCAAAACAAAGACAAU